Molecule: long non-coding RNA, 671 nt
Organism: Crotalus tigris (Tiger rattlesnake)
Lineage: Eukaryota; Metazoa; Chordata; Lepidosauria; Squamata; Viperidae
Exons: 4
Source: RefSeq, a predicted model, not a curated record
GAGAUACUCCUGUUUAAAAACAGCAUCCCCAUAUGAAGGAUGUGAAUGAACAGAUCCUGUUUAAACCAGAAUUUCCUUCCCGAUGCCGGUUUGGUCUGCUGGUUAAGGUGCUGGCCUGGGAACCAGGAGAUUGUGACUUCUAGUUCCACCUUCAGCAUGAAAGCCGACUGGAUGACUUUGGGUCAAUCACCGGGAGACGGUGAGAAUUCGAAUCCUGUCUUUGGCUGGCUGGGUGAUUUGGAGACGGAAAGUUGAAAUUAGUGCUGUAGCAGACUGAGAAGGGAGAAACUAUAGCAGUGUUUCUCACCCCGAGGAACUUUAAGACGGCAUGCAAGUUUAAGAUGGGUGGACUUCAACUCCCAGAAUUCUCCAACCAGCAUGAACUUUAAGACGGGUGGACGUCAACACCCAGAAUUCCCCAGCCAGCAUGCAACUUUAAGAUUUUCAGGAAAUCGAAUCUAUCACCCAUAGCUCACUAAAGAGACACAGUCCAGUCCAGAUUCUCUGUCAGUUUCCAGCUGUCACCCUGCUCUUAUCGUACAGAAAAAUCUCCUGGCACCAUUAUGAAGGACUUCGCUUUUGUUUGCUGAAGCUGUAAUCCAGGUAUCCAUGCAUCCAUGCAUCUGCCCACAACACCCCUGUGGCGGUAGGACGGAGAGAGGGACCGGUUC